RNAcentral lists this ribosomal RNA (330 nucleotides) under uncultured bacterium. RNAcentral describes it as "bacterial SSU rRNA". It matches the Rfam family "Bacterial small subunit ribosomal RNA", at positions 568 to 898 of the family's 1533-position model. The record is from RNAcentral.
UGUGUAGGCGGUUGUUUAAGUUUGGUGUGAAAUCUCCCGGCUCAACUGGGAGGGUGCGCCGAAUACUGAAUGACUAGAGUGCGGGAGAGGAGAGUGGAAUUCCUGGUGUAGCGGUGAAAUGCGUAGAUAUCAGGAGGAACACCGGCGGUGUAGACGGCUCUCUGGACCGUAACUGACGCUGAGACACGAAAGCGUGGGUAGCAAACAGGAUUAGAUACUCUGGUAGUCCACGCCCUAAACGAUGCAUAUUUGGUGUGGGUCAUUCAGUUGAUCCGUGCCGGAGCUAACGCGUUAAAUAUGCCGCCUGGGGAGUACAGUCGCAAGGCUGAA